UCACUUCUUUUCCCAUUUUUCUCUUUCAGGUUCCUCCUGCAUGUUAGGUAAUAGAAGCGACCUGCACAGAGACCUGUGUUUCUCUUAGAUGAAACAACUGGUGUUUGGAAACUUGAGUUCUUCCUGUGGAUCCUUCCUGUGUGGUGCACAAACCAGUGGGCCCCUCAUGGGCUCAACACCAGGGAGUCCCAGUGGCAGCUUCUAAGCUCUGGUCCCCUACAGAGCAAGUUGAAAUCUCCCAAAAAUGAAACUUGCAGAGGCAUGGUUCGGGUUGGUGGAAUGACAACAGCUACCUGGGAUGGUACCUGUUGCUGUCUUCUUCGCUGUUACUAUAGAAGAAACCACACCGCAUGAGUGGCUCUCCAGAAGGCCCCCCCACACAACAGCACCUAGCCCAACUCUUUCAUUUCCUGCUAUUUCGGCAGACAACAGAGCAGCCAGGUUCAAAUCUCGACGGCACCACUUGCUACCUGUGUGACUAAGGGGAUGGUUCUUUUUACCUCUCUGAGCCUUUGUUUCUGGCUUAGCACCAUGGCAAACAGUCUUAUCUGGUCUUCCUCUCUGGGUUUUCCCUUGGAGUCAGAGGCCAUUUCCACCCAAACUGAGAAAGACAAAGCAUUGCCACGCAACUAGCAAAGAAUUAAUGCCUGUUCCUUGACCCUCCCUUUAUAAGAUUUCCUAUUUCCUGCUGCAGCUGCUGAAAUUAGCGGUCCACUGACAUGAAUGGUUACUAUUGACUCAUUUCUCAUCUUCCUGUGACGUCCACAAUACUUAUUUUAUAUAUUUAUACAUUUUUAAUAUUUUUACUUGCAUGUUAUAUGUAUUUAUAUGUACGUGUGUAUAUAUUUACCUGUACCUAUCUAUAUAGAUAUCUAUAGACAGAUGUAAAUAGAGAGAAAAUACUUAACGUGGUGAAAACUUAGUAAAUACUUGUUAUUGGUAAAUGCAACUUACUUAAUGGAAAUGUGACAGCAUGUAAGUUUUUUAAAACUAAGACGAACACUCCUGGACCCACAAAUGCGUGAUUUAGCAAAAUACUCUGUAACAUCAAUAUUGCACAGCAAAUGAUCAAAUGACUUUAACAAAAUGAUUUAGUGUUGUGAACGGGGAUGUUCCCUUGCCUAUCAGGUUUUCCUAUCAAUACUGUUCAAUGAUGAACCAGAGAAGCCUGAUACUCCCAGGUGAGGGAGAGUCAAGUUUGUCUUUCUGGUUUGUGACAGUUAUCAGGUGUUUCCUUAUGUCAUAUGUCAAAGGCUAUAUUUAUGCAGGCUCAGAAGUCUUUUGUUCCUAGAGUAAAGAACAGUACAACGCAAUCUCAGACAUGAAGGGAUUUCAAAAACACUCCAAGUAUAGUAACUGAUAAUAGCAGCUUUUUCAUAUGGUCAUGGUAAAGAUUAAAUGACAUCAUAUAUAUUACAUACCUAGCACAAAGCCUAGUACAUCAUAAGCACUCUGCAAACAUUAGCUGCUACUCUUUCACCAAAGUGUAAAAGGGCAUUUUGAUCUCUCCCCGAGAGUGCCACUAAACUAAAAAUAUGCAUGCAACUUCGUUUAUAAAUACGUAUUGAUGGUGAGGGUCGGCUGUCUUUUAUUGUAUUUUAUUAAUAUUAUCAUGUUUUAUUAACAUCUAUCCUGGGAGGGACCCCUAGAUGCAGGGCCUGAGUCAGGGAAUUGGGAGACUGUGAUAAACCGAGGGAGUACUCUUCAUGAGAAAUAUGCCAAGGGAUGAAGAAAGUACGACAGGGAAAGGGUAAAAGCAGAGCAAAAAUACGGUCUCAGGUCAAGUCUAGUCUUGCCUCUAUAGGGAGGUUCUGAAGCUUACAUCACACUACAGAGUAUUUGCAGCGUGAGGUGAAGGGGUUGGCCUUUUGUGUCCCAGUGUCCAUCAGUCAUUUGCUGAGGACCACAUCUCCUUCCCCUCCCGUGAAAGAUGGGGCAUAAUCGGUAGAAGGAGGCAGACCCUCAGCCGAAGGCAAUUCUCCAGAAAAGGAGAGGCAUCUGCAGGCCUUCAGCAGCAGAGGCACUGGUACCAUGGCUGGGGAGAGUAGGUUGCAUACAAAUGUUACUGUUUUUGCUUGCAAGAAGUUACUUUCCUCUCUGCGUCCGCGCUCCAUUCAAUAUGACUUUGCAGCUCUCCACCCUGUCUAUCUGGACUGGCUUUCGGACUUAUUUUGACCAACAAAAUAUAGUGGAAGUGACACUGCACUAGUUCUAAUCCUAAGGCUGAGGAAGCCUGGUGAGCUUCCACAGGCUCUCUAGCAAUGCUGAUGCCACCUCGCGAACAAGACUGUGAAGACCCAAAGAAUUAAAGAUGCUGCUCCAGCCAACAGCCUGCCAGCCUGUCGCCAGUCACGUGAGGGAAGCAGCCAGGUCACAAUCAACACUCAAGCUCAACAAAGACACCACGGCCAGCCCAGCUAAGAUCAGCUGAGCUUAGACACGUCAGCAGAAGUGCCCGUGGAAACGGUUAGGCUCGGGAGCAAGAGUAAAUGGUGGUUGUCUUAAGCCACAAACCUUGAGGGGUUUAAAAACCUUAAAAGCUUUAAAAACAACAAUAGGGACACCUGGGUGGCUCAGUGUGUUAAGCAUCUGACUCUUGAUUUGGGCUCAGGUCAUGAUGUCUGAGUUUGUGAGAUCAAGCCCCACAUGGCACCUGCUUGGGCUUCUGUCCCUCCCUCUCUCUCCCUCUCUCUCCCCUCCCCUGCUUGUGCUCUCUCUCAAAAUAAAGAAAUAAACUUUAAAAAGUCAUUUAAAAACAACAACAAAUAACUGAUACACUCAAUAGAGGGAACAUGAACAGAAAUAUGAACUUAAUUGAACAUCUUAAAAUAAUUCCUACAAUCAUGCUUGAAAUUGUUUUUCUCAGGGGAGGUUUUUAAGGAAUAAUUGGUUCUAUGAUUCUUUAGAAUAAUAUAAAAACCUAAUCUGUCAUAAUCAGACACAUUGCUCUCAAUAAAUAUUGAAUUCAACCCCUA
Molecule: long non-coding RNA, 2975 nt
Organism: Neofelis nebulosa (Clouded leopard)
Lineage: Eukaryota; Metazoa; Chordata; Mammalia; Carnivora; Felidae
Exons: 2
Source: RefSeq, a predicted model, not a curated record